UUAACUUCUGAAGAGCUGCAUGUGGUUUCGGAGCCACAGGUUGGCCACCCCUGGUCUAGGAUGUGGGAGACCCAGGUUCAAGGUCCUUCUCCAAAUCAGGCAGCCCCAAUUUGGUGCGAUGGAUAUGAUGGGCCAGAUUCAGCAGUGAUAUAAAUGACAAGAAAUGUUACAUGACAGAGCAGAUGCUGCAUGGGUAGCUAACAGCAGUACAAGCUUCCCUAUUCUGCCCCACCAAGAUGUCUCAAUCCUGUCCUGGAGGGACCACUACUAAGGAUGAAAGAAUGGUCAGGCACCUCGGCCCUUUCAAUCCUUGGAUGAUCUGCUGAGAUCCAAGGAUGCCAAUGAGUGCCAGCUGUUGUGAUAUAAACACAUCCACUGGAACGGAACGACGUUCUCAAGAGAAGAAGAUCCCAUCCUACUAAUCUCAAAAGAACAACAGUAGUAGUAAAGUUUUAUUUUCAGCUUGUCCUGCGAAACUGAGAGGAGGAAGCCGGCAAACAAGAGAAGAGUCAGCAUGACAGUUGCCAAAAAUAAGAGAAAGUGAGGGCAGUUCAAAAGUGAAGAGGUUAUCGAAGAAGCAGUGGUCCCAAGACAGAUUAUUAAAGGGGGCGGGGAGGGGGGAGGAAAGAAAAGAGAGAGAGCGCAAUUGGUUUUCUCUGUAGCAAUUGUUUGUGAUGAUGGAAGUAUGAAUUGAAUGCCAAAAGCUACACUAAUGUAACAUCAAGGUUGUAAAUAUGACUGCAAAGAGUCAGGAAAUGCAAAAUUAAGAUCCCUAUAGCAAGAGUAAUUCACCUUAUUGCACAUCCUGUAUAUUAGAUUGAAGUUGGACCAAAAUGGGAAUCUUGAAUCCAAACCCCUUCAACUUUUCUGGUGGCUCAGAAGUUCACUUCUGAACCCAGUUCUAGAAUACUUUUACUUCUCCAAAACAGAAAGCUCAAAGCUGCCUGUUUUGGAUUCAGAUAUGGCCAGUCUCUCAGGAGGAUUAUUGUUUUGCAAGAUUUAUCCUACAAUUUUUUUUUGAAUGAGCAAUAAAAUAACUGCCACUUUAACUGGUGCUGAAUAGCAGCAUACAUGUA
This is a long non-coding RNA of Chelonia mydas (Green sea turtle), 1076 nucleotides long. RefSeq lists it as uncharacterized. The transcript has 3 exons. NCBI's taxonomy places the organism in Eukaryota, Metazoa, Chordata, Testudines, Cheloniidae. The record is from RefSeq and is a predicted model, not a curated record.